UUGACACCUCCCCUCGCCAUGAUACUCUGAAAGAUCUGCCUGUGAGGUAGGACUUGAAAUAAAUAAAGACAGUGGUUCAUGAGGCUUCAUCUGUCCAUCUCUAGAUCACAGAUAAAUGUACUAAAUCUGUGUAUUGGUUGAUACUUCAUAACCAUUGACAGUGCUAUGUUUACUGUGUGUGUGUGUGUGUGUGUGUGUGUGUGUGUGUGUGUGUGUGUACGUAUCGUGGAUAAUCAGUGGAAAAACAGUGAAUGCAUCUCUGGACCAUUGUCUGAGUUUUUCCUCCUGGCUGUGUGACUGCAGUCAGCUGGAGCUGUGGCUUCAUCAGGGACUGUCCGUCUGUCUGUCUCUGCUGUGUGACGGCGUCUUGUCCUCUGGCUUCUCUUCUGUGCUCAGUCCCUGCCAGGAUAAUGAAGCCCCGGACAACAUAGCUCCUGGGAUCACGCGGGAACUCAAACUCCCCCCACCACUUUAAGGUGGCAGGUCCUGAAGCAAAUCCCUGAAUCUCAAACUGCUCCCAGUGGAAGAACACAGCAUCUUGCAUGGGGCAGCCAUUGUUUAGGGCAGUGGUGGCCUGGAGGGCAGAGAAGGGGACAUUUGAUCAAGAGUUCACAGGUUCAGUUUCCACUGUGGGUCUCUGAGCAAGGCAUCAGUACUGUAAUGUGGUAACACCUCUGUGUUCUAGAAAUAGGAUUGAUCAAUAUGAAAAAAUGUGCAGUAAAAUAAUGUUUUAUGCCUUUUCAAUAAAAAAAAGAAGCAUCAUUGUAUUUUCAGAAAAGCUUCGUACCAGAUGCAUUUCAAGGCUUUGAUGUUGGUAUUCAGUCAUACGAUGUGUUUUUUAACCAUCAUUAGAGGUCAGGUAGAAAAGAACAUCUCUCAAAUCCUUUGAUCCACUAAUUGUUCUGGUGGUUUGUUCCUAAUCUUCAAGAAGAAAACAAGUUGUUGCAGUGCAGCUUUGGUAAGAAGUUUAUCAAACACUCUGGGUCCUGGAUAAAAGCCUGAGUCCUCCGUACACCGUCACACCGUCAAGAUGUUCGUUCUGAAGACUUUCCUUCUGCUGCUGGUUGCUGGAGCUGUGCUGGUGUCAGGAACUGCUCCAUCCACCGCCACGGAGGAAACUCAAACUGAAGCUGUACGGGCUCAACGUGACCUCUUCAACCGUGUACCUCCAGGACAUGGACUGGCAGGAAAUGGAGGUCCUCCAAUAGGAGCAGGACUGGCAGAAAAUGCUCCUCCACCUCCUCUGGGGAGGUAGAUGCUGUCUGAUGUUCUACAGAACAUCCGUCGGUAGUGAUGGCGUCCUCAUGACCAUUAAAGGGACGGAUGGAGACGUCUGGGACUAAACAUCUGCAGAUCACCUUCACCAUGAGUCACUGCUUCAUCUGAAAUCAUCUUCUCCUUUUAAAAUCAUCUUCUUCACU
This is a long non-coding RNA of Salarias fasciatus (jewelled blenny), 1421 nucleotides long. RefSeq lists it as uncharacterized. The transcript is spliced from 7 exons. The record is from RefSeq and is a predicted model, not a curated record. Lineage: Eukaryota; Metazoa; Chordata; Actinopteri; Blenniiformes; Blenniidae.